RNAcentral lists this ribosomal RNA (277 nucleotides) under uncultured prokaryote. RNAcentral describes it as "partial 16S ribosomal RNA". It matches the Rfam family "Bacterial small subunit ribosomal RNA", at positions 524 to 801 of the family's 1533-position model. The record is from RNAcentral.
CACGGGGUUGCGAGCGUUGUCCGGAAUUACUAGGCGUAAAGGGCAGGCAGGCGGAUCCAUAAGUUUAUCGUUUAAGGCGUCGGCUUAACCGGCGUAGGGCGGUAGAUACUGUGGAUCUGGAAUGCGGUUGGGGAAGACAGAAUUCCUGGUGUAGCGGUGGAAUGCGCAGAGAUCAGGAGGAAUACCGAAGGCGAAGGCAGUUUUCCAAGCCGUUAUUGACGCUCAACUGCGAAGGUGUGGGUAUCAAACAGGAUUAGAUACCCGCGUAGUCCCUGAG